AUUAAGAUGUCUGAAAAAAGUGGUAAACUGUAAAUUUGCUCAUGGGUUAGAACCCUCUUAAUA
RNAcentral lists this transfer RNA (63 nucleotides) under Nesophrosyne sp. 48 GMB-2012. Its description in RNAcentral is "tRNA-Tyr". Lineage: Eukaryota; Metazoa; Arthropoda; Insecta; Hemiptera; Cicadellidae. The record is from RNAcentral.